ACAUGCCUACAACAUAGCGUUAAUGUACCAGAUCUCAUUAGAACUCCGUAGUUAAGCACGCUCAGGCUAGAGUAGUACUUGGAUGGGUGACCGCCCGAGAAGUCCUAGUGUUUUACAUGCC
This is a non-coding RNA of Picea glauca (white spruce), 121 nucleotides long. The record is from Rfam. Lineage: Eukaryota; Viridiplantae; Streptophyta; Pinopsida; Pinales; Pinaceae.